GGACUACUGGGGUUUCUAAUCCUGUUUGCUCCCCACGCUUUCGCGCCUCAGCGUCAGUAUCGGUCCAGUGAGCCGCCUUCGCCACCGGUGUUCUUCCCAAUAUCUACGAAUUUCACCUCUACACUGGGAAUUCCACCCACCUCUCCCGAACUCGAGUUCUCCAGUCCCAAAUGCUAUUCCCAGGUUGAGCCCGGGGCUUUCACAUCUGACUUGAAGAACCGCCUGCGCGCCCUUUACGCCCAGUAAUUCCGAACAACGCUCGCCCCCUUCGUAUUACCGCGGCUGCUGGCAC
Molecule: ribosomal RNA, 292 nt
Filed under: uncultured bacterium
Lineage: Bacteria
Description: partial 16S ribosomal RNA
Source: RNAcentral